This 210-nucleotide long non-coding RNA is filed under the name Elaeis guineensis (African oil palm). Its description in RNAcentral is "long non-coding RNA (EGUI_LNC018266)". Lineage: Eukaryota; Viridiplantae; Streptophyta; Magnoliopsida; Arecales; Arecaceae. The record is from RNAcentral.
AUACGGAUCAACUCAAGUGUGAAGCCCCUGUGCCUAGUGGAUAAAGGCUAAUAAAUCUCGCCUCCCAAUAGGCAUUUGUCUUUUGAAAAGUUGGUUAGGGGCUAUGGUCUUAACACUUCAACUGCUCCAUUGUUAAGGUGUGAGAUGCUUUCGGCUUCAAAAAUUUCUCUGGAGACACCUCAACUAGCUAUAAUAGAGGAUGCUCGCAUA